Molecule: long non-coding RNA, 328 nt
Organism: Anser brachyrhynchus (Pink-footed goose)
Lineage: Eukaryota; Metazoa; Chordata; Aves; Anseriformes; Anatidae
Source: Ensembl
UGGAAAACAGAUUAUCUGUCCUGUUUCAAGAAAAAAAUGUAAAAUCUGUAAUUUUUAUACAUAUUAAAGAAUGGUAUAGAAAGAAGGAAUUAUGGGAAGCAAGGGAAUAAGGAUGUAAUGGAAAUUGUGGAAGGAGAAUGUGAAGGUGGAAAGCUGGAGGAAGGCCAAGCCAGCUGUUCUGUAGGACGACUGUGUGCUGAAGGUGUACCAGGAAGACAUUCAUCUCUGAUGUUCGCUGUCUUCUCUACAACCACAAAGAACAAAGCAGACAAGAUGAGGUAUCUUUCUUGGUUAACCAGCCACAACUAUCCUGACCAGUCAAAUAUUC